This 497-nucleotide ribosomal RNA is filed under the name uncultured bacterium. Its description in RNAcentral is "partial 16S ribosomal RNA". It matches the Rfam family "Bacterial small subunit ribosomal RNA", at positions 28 to 507 of the family's 1533-position model. The record is from RNAcentral.
GAUGAACGCUGGCGGCAUGCCUAACACAUGCCAGUCGAGCGAAAACAUCAGGAGCAUGCUCCUCUGACUUGGGCGCGGGACGGGUGCGGAACACGUGGACGACCUACCUCUACGAAUGGGAUGACUAUGGCAAACCGGAGCUAAUACCGAAAAAUAUAUUGAACCGCAUGGUGCAAUCGUGAAAGACGGUUUUUCUGUCACUUAUAGAUGGAUCCGCGCCGCAUUAGCUAGUUGGUAAGGUAACGGCUUACCAAGGCAACGAUGCGUAGCGGACCUGAGAGGGUGGUACGAUACACUGUAAGUGAGACACGGCACAGACUCCUACGGGAGGCAGCGGUAGAGAAUCUUACGCGAGGGACGAGAGCCGAACAGAGCACAGCCGCGUAAGGGAUGAAAGUCCUCGGCUCGUAGAGCUAUGUUGUUAUUAUAGGAGAAAAGUGUAAGUAACUGGGAACUUCUUGACGGUACCUAAUGAAUAAGCAACGGCUAACUCCGUG